UGUGUGUAAAGGUUGGACUAGGAGAGAAAGAUGGGGCAAAAUAGAACUAAGUCUGUUGCUCAAAAAAAAAAAAAAAAAAAAAAUAGAACUAAGUCUAAGUUGAAGAUGGGUCAUUGAGAUUUUUUGACAAUUUUUUUUUUCUUUAUAUGGGUCAUUGAGAUGAAAGGCAUAAUUUAGACUUUGAAUAUUAGAAAAAAAAUCUAAGCUCUUUUGUCCCAUCUUUUGGCUUCAUGAAAGAGACCACAUAACGUAUGAUAUGUGUAGCCUUAAUCUUCUCCACAUGUAUAUGCAACCCAAACACUCACGAACAUAUAAGAUAUA
This 321-nucleotide long non-coding RNA is filed under the name Brassica napus (rape). RNAcentral's name for it is "long non-coding RNA (BNAP_LNC026242)". Lineage: Eukaryota; Viridiplantae; Streptophyta; Magnoliopsida; Brassicales; Brassicaceae. The record is from RNAcentral.